RNAcentral lists this ribosomal RNA (375 nucleotides) under uncultured organism. RNAcentral describes it as "partial 16S ribosomal RNA". It matches the Rfam family "Bacterial small subunit ribosomal RNA", at positions 527 to 896 of the family's 1533-position model. The record is from RNAcentral.
GUAGGUGGCAAGCGUUGUCCGGAAUUAUUGGGCGUAAAGCGCGCGCAGGCGGUCCUUUAAGUCUGAUGUGAAAGCCCACGGCUCAACCGUGGAGGGUCAUUGGAAACUGGGGGACUUGAGUACAGAAGAGGAAAGCGGAAUUCCAAGUGUAGCGGUGAAAUGCGUAGAGAUUUGGAGGAACACCAGUGGCGAAGGCGGCUUUCUGGUCUGUAACUGACGCUGAGGCGCGAAAGCGUGGGGAGCAAACAGGAUUAGAUACCCUGGUAGUCCACGCCGUAAACGAUGAGUGCUAAGUGUUAGGGGGGUUUCCCGCCCCCCUUAGUGCUGCAGCUAACGCAUUAAGCACUCGCCUGGGGGAGUACGGCCGCAAGGCUG